Molecule: long non-coding RNA, 574 nt
Filed under: Heterocephalus glaber (naked mole-rat)
Lineage: Eukaryota; Metazoa; Chordata; Mammalia; Rodentia; Bathyergidae
Description: lncRNA (ENSHGLG00100045392.1)
Source: RNAcentral
AAAAAAAUGAGUAUCCGUGAAGGACAGCAUGAUUGUAAAGGCAUUUUAACGGUGUGAUGUAUAUACCAUAAAUUCAUGCUUAAGUACACAGUGAUUUUUAGUCAGGCUACCCAGGUGCUAACAACUUAUUAACAACUGGAUUUUCACUUUAGUGGUUUUGGGAUUUGAUUGUGAGUGUAUGGGUUGACAUAUAUUUUUUUUUUUUUUUUGGUACCGGAGAUCGAACUCGAAACUUUGCACUUUCGAGGCAGGCGGCAGAACCACUGAGCUAAAUCCCCGGCCCCGACAUAUCUUCUUGGUAUGUGAAUCCAAAGGGAAGAGGAAAAUUUUACAGGGACUGAACUCAGGACCUUGCGCUUUCGAGGCAGGCGCUAGCACCACUGAGCUAAAUCCCGGCCCUUGCAAUUUCUUCUUGUAACUAAUCUGUGGGAAGACAUUCAGAUCCUGCUCAAGAUAUUUUAGGUUCAGCUUAUUUUUCCUGCACAGCCAAGAAAUCAAGCAUUUCUCCAAGGGGACCUGGUUUUUUAUGUGGUAUGUUAGUCAGCUUUCUAAGGCUGUGAAAAAAUACCCUGGG